RNAcentral lists this ribosomal RNA (255 nucleotides) under uncultured bacterium. RNAcentral describes it as "partial 16S ribosomal RNA". It matches the Rfam family "Bacterial small subunit ribosomal RNA", at positions 524 to 776 of the family's 1533-position model. The record is from RNAcentral.
UACGAAGGGGGCUAGCGUUGCUCGGAAUCACUGGGCGUAAAGGGUGCGUAGGCGGGUCUUUAAGUCAGGGGUGAAAUCCUGGAGCUCAACUCCAGAACUGCCCUUUGAUACUGAGGAUCUUGAGUUCGGGAGAGGUGAGUGGAACUGCGAGUGUAGAGGUGAAAUUCGUAGAUAUUCGCAAGAACACCAGUGGCGAAGGCGGCUCACUGGCCCGAUACUGACGCUGAGGCACGAAAGCGUGGGGGAGCAAACAGG